This 106-nucleotide small nuclear RNA is filed under the name Neotoma lepida (desert woodrat). The record is from RNAcentral. Lineage: Eukaryota; Metazoa; Chordata; Mammalia; Rodentia; Cricetidae.
GUGCUUACUAGUAGCACACACACUAAAACUGGAACAAACCAGAGAAAAUGAGCACGGUCUUUGCACAAGGAUUAGACACAGGAAUAGCAAAAUGCUGAGCUGUGCU